GUGAUGCUACCUGAUCCGAGGUCAAAUUUUCAAAAGUUGGGGGUUUAACGGCAGGGCACCGCCAGGGCCUUCCAGAGCGAGGGUUUAACUACUACGCUCGGGGUCCUGGCGAGCUCGCCACUAGAUUUCAGGGCCUGCUUCGUUAGAAGCAGUGCCCCAACACCAAGCAAUGCUUGAGGGUUGAAAUGACGCUCGAACAGGCAUGCCCUCCGGAAUACCAGAGGGCGCAAUGUGCGUUCAAAGAUUCGAUGAUUCACUGAAUUCUGCAAUUCACAUUACUUAUCGCAUUUCGCUGCGUUCUUCAUCGAUGCCAGAACCAAGAGAUCCGUUGUUGAAAGUUUUGAUUCAUUUGUGUUUUUUCUCAGAGUUUCAGUGUAAAAACAAGAGUUAACUUGGCCGCCGGCGUGCCUUCUCCUCACCGGGGUGAGGGGCCUACUAGAGGCCAGCAUGCGCCGAGGCAACAAAAGGUAUAAGUUCACAAAGGGUUUCUGGGUGCGCCUGGGGCGCGUUCCAGCAAGGAUCCCUCCGCAGGUACCCCCUACGGAAG
Molecule: ribosomal RNA, 547 nt
Filed under: fungal sp. SNB-GSS10
Lineage: Eukaryota; Fungi
Description: partial large subunit ribosomal RNA
Source: RNAcentral